CACCUUGGCAAGGCCCCGGGAGCAGGGACCUUUUCUCUCCCACUAUACAGAUGGGGACACUGAGGCGCUGGUUCUCAAUCUAUGAAAAAAUGGGGUGCUGCCGGGCGUGGUGGCGGGUGCCUGUCGUCCCAGCUACUCGGGAGGCUGAGGCAGGAGAAUGGCGUGAACCCGGGGAGACGGAGCUUGCAGUGAGCCGAGAUGGCGCCACCGCACCCCAGCCUGGGCGACAGAGCAAGACUACGUCUCAAAAUAAAUAAAUAAAUAAAUAAAUAAAUAAGCCAAGGAUGAUGAUGCACACCUGUAGUCCUAGCUGCUUGGGCGACUGAGGCAGGAGGAUGCCUUGAACCCAGGAGUUCAUGUAGGUUGCAGUGAGCUGUAGUUGCACCACUGGAGUCCAGCCUGGGCAACAGAGCAAGACCCUGUGUAAAGAACAAAAAAAGUUUAUGUAACAUUUUAGAAAUGGAAUUAGGGUUAGGGAUGAGGGUGCGGGGAGGGUGCACAAACAGCAAGAGAUCCUGAUGGUGAUGGAAAUGCUCCAUGUCAUGAUGGUGGAUACACGAAUCUACCCAGGCCAGCAAAUUAUAGGAGACUAAAGACAUCUCACACACUCACACACACGAUCACAAGUUAAACUGAGGAAUCCUGAGUAAGAUUGAUGGAUUGUAUCCAUGUGAAAUCUUACUUAUAUGUUUUUUAGAGAUGGAGUGUCCUUAAUGCACCCCAGGCUGGAGUGCAAUUUUGUGAUCUCAGCUCACUGCAGCCUCUGGGGUUCAAGCGAUUCUCCUGCCUCAGCCUCCGGAGUAGCUGGGAUUACAGGCGCCCACCACCACGCCCGACUAAUUUUUGUAUUUUUAGUAGAGAUGGGGUUCCACUAUGUUGGCCAGGCUGCUGUCGAACUCCUGACCUCGUGAUUCACCUGCCUUGGACUCUCAAAGUGCUGUGAUUACAGGCGUGAGCCACCACACCCGUUUUUGUUUUGUUUUGUUUUGUUUUGUUUUUGUUUUGAGAUGGAGUCUCACUCUGUUGCCCAGGCGAGAGUGCAGUGGUGUGUUCUAGGCUCAGUGCAACCACCGCCUCCCAGGUUCAAACGAGUCUCCUGCCUCAGCCUCCCGAGUAGCUGGGACUACAGGUGCCCGCCACCACGCCCGGCUAAUUUUUUGUUGUUGUUGUAUUUUUGGUAAAGAGGAGGUUCCCCAUGUUGGCCAGCCUGGUCUCGCACUCCUGACCUCAGGUGAUCCACCUGCCUUGGCCUCCCAAAAUGCUGGGAUUACAGGCAUGAGCCACAGCACUCGGCCCUUCCCUCCUUUCUUUCUGAGACAGGGUCUUGUUCCGUCACCCAGACUGGAGUGCAGUAGCAGGAUCACAGCUCAAUGCAACCUAGAAGAAUUCCUGUCGUCCUGUGCUCAUGAGAUCCUCCCUCCUCUUGCAACUGCAUAUGAAUUGACAAUUAUUUCAAUAAAAUUUUCAAUUAAAAAAUUAUGAGGGCUGGGUGCGGUGGCUCACUCCUGUAACCCCAGCACUUUGGGAGGCCGAGG
This 1535-nucleotide long non-coding RNA is filed under the name Homo sapiens (human). RNAcentral's name for it is "HSALNT0395587". The record is from RNAcentral. Lineage: Eukaryota; Metazoa; Chordata; Mammalia; Primates; Hominidae.